CUGCUGCUUCUAAUUGUCCUGCUUCGAGCAAAAUUUAGUGGAAUUGCCCGGCCUCUGCUGCUGCUGCUAGGUAGGUAGUCCUGCGAAAUUGGUAAUGUUAGUUUGGAAACAUUCAAUCAUGUUAAUUAUGGAAACAUUCAAUCAUGUUAAUUAUGGAAACAUUAGAUCAGGAAAUGGGAUUUUGUUACUUUUGGAAACAUUCAAUCAUGUUAAUUAUGGAAAAAUUAGAUCAGGAAAUGAAUUUUGUUAAUUUUGGAAACAAUUCAACCAUGUUAACUUCGGAAACAUUCAAUCAGACAAGAUUUUGGCAACUGGAAUUACUACGGCAUGGAUUAUGGACUCUCACCUGAUCAUCAUCUAUGUUCAGGUUCUAAAAAUAUUCAAUCAGACAGUUUGGACUUGUGGCUGUACUUUGCAAUUUAAAUAUGUUCAGGUUGUAAAAAUGGGACAGCAGUAUAACAUCAAGCAAAACUCUUGCAAAUUUUCAGUUUCGACAGUGUCAAAGCAUACAGUAGUUUUGACAGUAAUUUUGAUAAUUCAAGCAAAUUAAUUUUUACAACCUGAUAAUUUUGAUAAUUCCAAACAAAGAGUUGGGGCAUGCCUGUUUGAUAAACCACUCUAAAAAAAUGACCUGUAAUUUUGUCAUUUACUCCAAAUCACGAAGAAAAGAUACGAAAACCAUAUGUCCAAAGCAUGAAUCACAACAAGAAACUCUAAAGUUGAAUGAUGUGAAGUGAAUGAACUAAAGAAGGACCAAGCAUGUUGUGUGUUGUAUGUCAGGUUUCAGUUAAUCUUCUGUAUGAACUAAAGAAGUGAAUGAUGUAAACAGAGCUUGAUCCCCAGGUUUCAGGUUUCAGGAUGUAGAAAGUUCACUUAACAUAGUUAUUGAUCACCUAGUCAAGUCUGUGAUCACCUAGUCUGUGAUGUGACAAAUGGAGGAGCAUCAACCUGCACCUGUCUGACGAUGCAUUUUUGGGGGUUCACAUAUCAUACAAGUUCAGAGAUAAAAACAAGAUCUCCUAACAAUCUACUCUAGGAUAAAAAUAUAACUCUGUUUAGUGCUAGCUUUCUUCCUAACAAAGUUACUGCUCCUAAAUAUGGACACACUUUUUUUUUGAUUUACACAAGAUCUCAGAGUGAAGGACACUAUGGGGUACUCCUACUCCUAAUGUAGUUGCAGCUACUCCUAUUCCUUCUUCUACUCUAGCUGCAGUAAGCAAUAUCACCAGCCAAACAAUAUCUGCAGUAGUAUCUCAACAAGCAGUACUAGCUGCUAUGGAAGCGGCCAUGGAUGCAUCAAACAAAUUUAAACGAUGCUGCUAUUCAAAAAUUAGAUGGAAAAAGCUCGAGAUAAUUGAUCAUGACUACUGUCACAUGACAGAUUACUCCUGUACAGUACUGUGCCAUUUUUUAAGUGCAGACUAAAUUCUAUAAGUGCACGCUAAUUCUAGAAGUGCAGACUUUUAGUUGUGAGAUUAUACAACAGGAACAUUCAGUCUCUAAUUCAGAUGUUUGCAGUUGAAAAUGCAGCAAUUCAUGAAUCACCUGAAUCAAUCCAGACCACUGCCGAAGAUGUCCUUGAACUGCCACUCCUUCCACCUGAAGAUGUUGCUACUCCUUCAAAGCACAAACUUUCAGACCAGAGCAUGCAGCAAUCCAACAGAAGAUUUCGCCACUCCUUAAACUGCCACUACACACACCCAAUCGUCGGCCUUGAGCGAAGCCGACUUGUUCCUCACAUCAAACUCCUGUAGAAAUCCAAGAAGAUGAAGAAAUUGGGUGGACAUGGCCCGACCAAUCCAAGACGAUAAAGAAGAAAUUGCAAUGGGCGCAGUAGAUCGAAGGGAGGAGAAGUGGAAAAAGGAGACCUUUGACUCCGGCGGGCUCCUGGGU
RNAcentral lists this long non-coding RNA (1893 nucleotides) under Triticum aestivum (bread wheat). RNAcentral's name for it is "long non-coding RNA (TAES_LNC023217)". The record is from RNAcentral. Lineage: Eukaryota; Viridiplantae; Streptophyta; Magnoliopsida; Poales; Poaceae.